RNAcentral lists this transfer-messenger RNA (285 nucleotides) under Candidatus Hungatella pullicola. It matches the Rfam family "transfer-messenger RNA", at positions 67 to 372 of the family's 374-position model. From Rfam's summary of the family: Bacterial tmRNA, also known as 10Sa RNA or SsrA, is named for its dual tRNA and mRNA-like properties. The record is from RNAcentral. Lineage: Bacteria; Bacillati; Bacillota; Clostridia; Lachnospirales; Lachnospiraceae.
CGUUAAAUGGCAAACCUAAAUAUAAACGCUAACAAGAACGAAUUAGCAUUAGCUGCCUAAUUGCAGCUUUGUCGGCCUCAGGGCACUCACACCUUGAGAAUCCGGCAUCGACUAUGUGAGAAACGACAUAUACAAAGCUUUGAGUGUAUGGGCGUAUUAUGAAGCUACUGAAGCUGUCAGAGUGUCAGUUCCCGGGCAGCGGAGGGAAUGUCAAUAAACUGACUAUGAUAGUAGAAGAACAGGGGAUUGGUUUUUGGACACGGGUUCAACUCCCGUCUACUCCAC